This 69-nucleotide transfer RNA is filed under the name Mus musculus (house mouse). It matches the Rfam family "tRNA". From Rfam's summary of the family: Transfer RNA (tRNA) molecules are approximately 80 nucleotides in length. Their secondary structure includes four short double-helical elements and three loops (D, anti-codon, and T loops). Further hydrogen bonds mediate the characteristic L-shaped molecular structure. tRNAs have two regions of fundamental functional importance: the anti-codon, which is responsible for specific mRNA codon recognition, and the 3' end, to which the tRNAs corresponding amino acid is attached (by aminoacyl-tRNA synthetases). tRNAs cope with the degeneracy of the genetic code in two manners: having more than one tRNA (with a specific anti-codon) for a particular amino acid; and 'wobble' base-pairing, i.e. permitting non-standard base-pairing at the 3rd anti-codon position. The record is from Rfam by way of RNAcentral. Lineage: Eukaryota; Metazoa; Chordata; Mammalia; Rodentia; Muridae.
GGGAGUGUAGCUCAAUGGUAGAGUGAUUGCCUAGCACACAGGGCCCUGGGUUUCAUCCCAGUACUGCCA